AAAAAGGCAGGCCUUUGUUUCCCAUAUGUGAACUGGGCUCUCAUAAACUUCAGGUAGAUCACUUACAUUGUUUUUGGGUGAACCUCUGUACGUGCAUCAGUUGCAUGUGACUUAAGGUUCAGUAAAUGAUGGAACAUUU
This 139-nucleotide small nucleolar RNA is filed under the name Prunus dulcis (almond). Its description in RNAcentral is "sRNA ncRNA". It matches the Rfam family "Small nucleolar RNA snoR74". The record is from Rfam by way of RNAcentral. Lineage: Eukaryota; Viridiplantae; Streptophyta; Magnoliopsida; Rosales; Rosaceae.